CGCAAGAAGAGAAAUAUCCUGUAGGACCAUGGCUGUUGGCACUGUUCGUUUUUGUUGUCUGUGGCUCAGGUUGACCACAUAAACACUGGCCUUUCCUGGAGACUGACAGAACUUUCUCGGAACUGUGACCCCCAGAGGGAGUCACCUCCUGCAACCAGCAAAUGGGGUGCUUGAGGAACGGGACAGCCCCGGAGGAAAGACAGAGGCCAUUCAUCUGCCCUGGAGCCCUGCCUCAGGAUCCAAGAUGGACAGUCUAGAGAAGACAUUUCACCAGCCAUUGACUUCCUCAAGCCAUCUUUCAAAUCAUUCAGAGCAUAAGGAUGGGCAUGUGAGGAGGCCGGGGCAUCUGAUGCUGCGCCCUCCCGCUGGAGGGUGGAGGACCACGGAGGCCUUUGGCGGGUAUCUGUGGGAAGCCAACAGGCCACGUGGAAUAGAGAAGAGGCUUCGCCACUGGUUCCCUGACCACUUCCACCUGGAAGUCAGACCAAACUGCCUUCUCACAGAACAUCUCGGUGAAUCCGUGUCCUCCAGCGGAAAGGACAUUCUGCUUUUCUGUUGGCGGGAUUGGUAGCCACGCGGGUCGUCUGCAGCAUUGCUGUCUGUCUGGUCCCCCUUGGUUUCACUAAUGUGUGCAUGUGGCCCUCUGAAUGACCGCUGGUUUACUUUCUACUGAUGCAAUCUCUCCUCUGUCGGGAAAUGGUUUUACAAAUAAAUGUCUUCAUUCAACC
This 728-nucleotide long non-coding RNA is filed under the name Marmota marmota marmota (Alpine marmot). Its description in RNAcentral is "lncRNA (ENSMMMG00000023460.1)". The record is from RNAcentral. Lineage: Eukaryota; Metazoa; Chordata; Mammalia; Rodentia; Sciuridae.